GACGAACGCUGGCGGCGUGCCUAAUACAUGCAAGUAGAACGCACAGUUUAUACCGUAGCUUGCUACACCAUAGACUGUGAGUUGCGAACGGGUGAGUAACGCGUAGGUAACCUGCCUGGUAGCGGGGGAUAACUAUUGGAAACGAUAGCUAAUACCGCAUAAUAUUAAUUAUUGCAUGAUAAUUAAUUGAAAGGUGCAAUUGCACCACUACCAGAUGGACCUGCGUUGUAUUAGCUAGUAGGUGAGGUAACGGCUCACCUAGGCGACGAUACAUAGCCGACCUGAGAGGGUGGUCGGCCACACUGGGACUGAGACACGGCCCAGACUCCUACGGGAGGCAGCAGUAGGGAAUCUUCGGCAAUGGACGAAAGUCUGACCGAGCAACGCCGCGUGAGUGAAGAAGGGUUUCGGAUCGUAAAGCUCUGUUGUAAGAGAAGAACGGGUGUGAGAGUGGAAAGUUCACACUGUGACGGUAGCUUAACAGAAAGGGACGGCUAACUACGUG
RNAcentral lists this ribosomal RNA (505 nucleotides) under uncultured bacterium. RNAcentral's name for it is "partial 16S ribosomal RNA". It matches the Rfam family "Bacterial small subunit ribosomal RNA", at positions 28 to 507 of the family's 1533-position model. The record is from RNAcentral.